This 57-nucleotide ribosomal RNA is filed under the name Butyriboletus regius. Its description in RNAcentral is "partial 18S ribosomal RNA". It matches the Rfam family "Eukaryotic small subunit ribosomal RNA", at positions 1778 to 1831 of the family's 1831-position model. Lineage: Eukaryota; Fungi; Basidiomycota; Agaricomycetes; Boletales; Boletaceae. The record is from RNAcentral.
GGAAGUAAAAGUCGUAACAAGGUUCUCCUGUAGGUGAACCUGCGGAAGGAUCAUUAU